GGGGGCGAUCUGGGUUCGACGGGGGUGAGAAAGCGAGAGCUGCGUGCCGGGGGUCCUGUUCACCCCGCAACCCGAGCAGGGCUGCUUAACUGCAGACGACAACUACGCACUGGCUGCCUAAUUAGGCCGCCACGCUCGACCUGCCUGCGCCCGUAGGGCGGGCUCGAGCGUCAUAACUUCGGGCUGGGUCCCCGCGACCGCCGGCGGCGCGGGGGCCGAGACACAACGCCGGCUGGCCGCGCGAGAUCCCGCCUGCGGGAGCGAGCGCGGCGAGAGCAAAGCGCAGGCUACGCACGUAGAGGCGAUCGCGGAUGCACCUUCGGACGGGGGUUCGAUUCCCCCCGCCUCCACUG
RNAcentral lists this transfer-messenger RNA (353 nucleotides) under Deltaproteobacteria bacterium. It matches the Rfam family "transfer-messenger RNA". From Rfam's summary of the family: Bacterial tmRNA, also known as 10Sa RNA or SsrA, is named for its dual tRNA and mRNA-like properties. Its role is to liberate the mRNA from a stalled ribosome. To accomplish this part of the tmRNA is used as a reading frame that ends in a translation stop signal. RNAcentral also lists the same sequence under 1 other name. Lineage: Bacteria; Pseudomonadati; Myxococcota; Myxococcia. The record is from RNAcentral.